GAUGAACGCUAGCUACAGGCUUAACACAUGCAAGUCGAGGGGAAACGACAUCGAAAGCUUGCUUUUGGUGGGCGUCGACCGGCGCACGGGUGAGUAACGCGUAUCCAACCUGCCCACCACUUGGGGAUAACCUUGCGAAAGUAAGACUAAUACCCGAUGAUAUCCCUAGAAGACAUCUGAAAGGGAUUAAAGAUUUAUCGGUGAUGGAUGGGGAUGCGUCUGAUUAGCUUGUUGGCGGGGUAACGGCCCACCAAGGCUACGAUCAGUAGGGGUUCUGAGAGGAAGGUCCCCCACAUUGGAACUGAGACACGGUCCAAACUCCUACGGGAGGCAGCAGUGAGGAAUAUUGGUCAAUGGGCGAGAGCCUGAACCAGCCAAGUAGCGUGCAGGAUGACGGCCCUAUGGGUUGUAAACUGCUUUUAUAAGGGAAUAAAGUGAGUCUCGUGAGGCUUUUUGCAUGUACCUUAUGAAUAAGGACCGGCUAAUUCCGUG
Molecule: ribosomal RNA, 492 nt
Filed under: uncultured bacterium
Lineage: Bacteria
Description: bacterial SSU rRNA
Rfam family: Bacterial small subunit ribosomal RNA
Source: RNAcentral